This 1769-nucleotide long non-coding RNA is filed under the name Panax ginseng (ginseng). Its description in RNAcentral is "long non-coding RNA (PGIN_LNC010022)". The record is from RNAcentral. Lineage: Eukaryota; Viridiplantae; Streptophyta; Magnoliopsida; Apiales; Araliaceae.
CACAUAAUUUCAUAUAAACAGACUAGUGGAUACAAAUCGCACAAUAAACCGAUACUUGUUCUUAUCCUGAUUGAUCAGACGAAUCCUCACACGAUAAUCGGUCUUAUCCUAUGUAGAGAUUUUAACCAAAAAUAAAAUCAGUAAUAACCUAAUAAAGUCUACGUGUAAUACUGCACUACUAAAGGAAACAUUGUAAUUCUUUACUAUAGAUAGAAAAAGAAACAUUAGUUUGUCAAUGCAAGGAUGUGAGACAGAGCAUGAAUCCAUAACAUAUUGUUUUUCAGUUACAACUAUAAUACCUUUGUAUGGAGAUAAGAAAUUAUUAAGAUUAAGCAAGUUGAUCACGAUCAUCAACUUUUACUUGAAUUCAACAUUUUCACUAACUAGUACGUUAGAAUUGUUGUAUAUGGAAAGUGAGCAAAACUAAACAGAAGAAAAGACCCAUCAUUCUAUAAGUUCGUUAUCUCUUUUAUUUCUGAUUCAAACUCUACAAGUCUGUUUUAGAAGACAAGACACUGGUUUUGGGACGUUUCAUUCAUUAUCCUUUUUUAGAUGCCUGCUCUGAGUUUCUGAAUAUAUGAAAAAUAGAAAGAUAAUAUAGUCGAUUACACAACCAUUAAACAAUUUUUUGUCUUCAUGUUUUGAAUAUUAACUUAGACAUCAACAAAAACAACCAUGGAAGCAGUAUUAAGAAUGAGAAUGGUAAUAACAGCAAAAAUAAUCCAAAAGGGUGGAUACUUACACAACUUUUGGCGAGGUGCAUAAAUGAAGCAUUUGCCAGAAAGUAUAGUCAAUAUCCAUUUGUAGCCAUUGCAAUGAAUCAGAUGAAUGAAAACAAUAUUAGGGAACAAAGAUACCAAACAAGUUGCUGGGUAAAGAAAUGAAUGUGCACCUAAAGUUAAUCUCUAUAUUCAUAAAUAUAUAUUAAUAUACAAAGAGAACAAUAUUGUGACAAUUUUAUUUUGAAGAGAAAAUUUCCAAAGUGAGUGCAAUUAGCUCACUUUUGAACCACAGAUUGAACCAUCGAGCUCUCUGACAACCAAGUGGGACAAAGGAACAAUGCAUCCAUUAAUUACACCACUCUAAUAAAGUACACCAAAAUUUAAAACCUCGCUAUAGUUUUAGGAGCCACCAAGAGUUAGAAUUCAUGUUAUUUAGAGCAAGCAAAUAAGCUAAUGAUAACUUAUUUUUAGCAAGUAAGCUAAUGACCCCAAAAUAUAUAUAUUCACACAGAGGGAAAUAGAAGAACUUGUAUAUUAAGGAGUAAAUUUUAAAUUUACAAAACAAAAUAGGGUUUCCUUCGCAAUGGGAUGCAAAAUUCGGAGCAUUGGCAUCACAAUAAUUAUAAAUAAAUAAAAAAUUGACAGUUUAAUAUUUUUAAAAUGAUCAGCGAGAUCAGAUCAGUUGGAAUCAAAUUGUAUGAAACAGAUAUAUAAAAACAAAUCCUACUUGAUUGUGUGGUCAGAGAGUGGGAGAAGAAACAAAAAUCUUGAUUAUUCUACGAAGGUAUUGAGGGAAGACAGGAUUGGCUCGGACAUGGUGAGAUGGCGAACGCCCUUUCGAUACAGUGGGCAACGUCUCCUCUUAUUCUUCUUCUUUUUGCUCGACUAAUUAAAUAAUCUGUGAUUAAUUUCCGAUCGAAGAAGAUCUCUUAAUAACGACUCGCUGCUCUCUCUCUCAAUCAGAGUCAGGUAAGCCAGAGCGAGUCGGGUCAUGUUGAAACCAAAUCCUAAUACAGUAGCCAAAAUAUAUAUAAAUUUAGUAUACCA